RNAcentral lists this ribosomal RNA (497 nucleotides) under uncultured bacterium. RNAcentral describes it as "partial 16S ribosomal RNA". It matches the Rfam family "Bacterial small subunit ribosomal RNA", at positions 28 to 507 of the family's 1533-position model. The record is from RNAcentral.
GAUGAACGCUGGCGGCGUGCCUAAUACAUGCAAGUCGAGCGAACAGAUGAGGAGCUUGCUCCUCUGACGUUAGCGGCGGACGGGUGAGUAACACGUGGAUAACCUACCUAUAAGACUGGGAUAACUUCGGGAAACCGUAGCUAAUACCGGAUAAUAUAUUGAACCGCAUGGUUCAAUAGUGAAAGACGGUUUUGCUGUCACUUAUAGAUGGAUCCGCGCUGCAUUAGCUAGUUGGUAAGGUAACGGCUUACCAAGGCAACGAUGUGUAGCCGACCUGAGAGGGUGAUCGGCCACACUGGAACUGAGACACGGUCCAGACUCCUACGGGAGGCAGCAGUAGGGAAUCUUCCGCAAUGGGCGAAAGCCUGACGGAGCAACGCCGCGUGAGUGAUGAAGGUCUUCGGAUCGUAAAACUCUGUUAUUAGGGAAGAACAAAUGUGUAAGUAACUAUGCACAUCUUGACGGUACCUAAUCAGAAAGCCACGGCUAACUACGUG